This 498-nucleotide ribosomal RNA is filed under the name uncultured bacterium. Its description in RNAcentral is "partial 16S ribosomal RNA". It matches the Rfam family "Bacterial small subunit ribosomal RNA", at positions 30 to 523 of the family's 1533-position model. The record is from RNAcentral.
AUUGAACGCUGGCGUCAUGCCUUACACAUGCAAGUCGAACGGUAACAGGUCUUCGGAUGCUGACGAGUGGCGAACGGGUGAGUAAUACAUCGGAACGUGCCUAGUAGUGGGGGAUAACUACUCGAAAGAGUGGCUAAUACCGCAUGAGAUCUACGGAUGAAAGCAGGGGAUCGCAAGACCUUGUGCUACUAGAGCGGCCGAUGGCAGAUUAGGUAGUUGGUGGGAUAAAAGCUUACCAAGCCGACGAUCUGUAGCUGGUCUGAGAGGACGAUCAGCCACACUGGGACGGAGACGCGGCCCAGAAUCCUACGGGAGGCAGCAGUGGGGAAUUUUGGACAAUGGGCGAAAGCCUGAUCCAGCAAUGCCGCGUGCAGGAUGAAGGCCUUCGGGUUGUAAACUGCUUUUGUACGGAACGAAAAGCCCUGGGUUAAUACCCUGGGGUCAUGACGGUACCGUAAGAAUAAGCACCGGCUAACUACGUGCCAGCCGCCGCGGUAA